RNAcentral lists this ribosomal RNA (432 nucleotides) under uncultured bacterium. Its description in RNAcentral is "partial 16S ribosomal RNA". It matches the Rfam family "Bacterial small subunit ribosomal RNA", at positions 29 to 507 of the family's 1533-position model. The record is from RNAcentral.
ACGAACGCUGGCGGCAUGCCUAACACAUGCAAGUCGAACGAGACCUUCGGGUCUAGUGGCGCACGGGUGCGUAACGCGUGGGAAUCUGCCCUUGGGUUCGGAAUAACAGUUGGAAACGACUGCUAAUACCGGAUGAUGACGUAAGUCCAAAGAUUUAUCGCCCAAGGAUGAGCCCGCGUAGGAUUAGCUAGUUGGUGAGGUAAAGGCUCACCAAGGCGACGAUCCUUAGCUGGUCUGAGAGGAUGAUCAGCCACACUGGGACUGAGACACGGCCCAGACUCCUACGGGAGGCAGCAGUGGGGAAUAUUGGACAAUGGGCGAAAGCCUGAUCCAGCAAUGCCGCGUGAGUGAUGAAGGCCUUAGGGUUGUAAAGCUCUUUUACCCGGGAUGAUAAUGACAGUACCGGGAGAAUAAGCUCCGGCUAACCCCGUG